AACCCCUCACGCGGCGACAUCGCGGUCACUCCCCCAGGUCCGGAAGGAAGCAAGGGUCCCCGGGCUCUGUCGGGUGCGUGAGGGGCCUUC
Molecule: signal recognition particle RNA, 90 nt
Filed under: Actinomycetes bacterium
Lineage: Bacteria; Bacillati; Actinomycetota; Actinomycetes
Also listed under: 1 other name
Description: signal recognition particle sRNA small type
Rfam family: Bacterial small signal recognition particle RNA
About the family: The signal recognition particle (SRP) is a universally conserved ribonucleoprotein involved in the co-translational targeting of proteins to membranes. Archaeal SRP consists of a 7S RNA and homologues of the eukaryotic SRP19 and SRP54 proteins.
Source: RNAcentral